CCCUUAGAUGUUCUGGGCCGCACGCGCGCUACACUGACGAUGGCAACGAGUUUUUCCUUCGCCGAAAGGUGUGGGUAAUCUUUUGAAACAUCGUCGUGCUGGGGAUAGAUCAUUGCAAUUUUUAAUCUUGAACGAGGAAUUCCUAGUAAGCGCGAGUCAUCAGCUCGCGUUGAUUACGUCCCUGCCCUUUGUACACACCGCCCGUCGCUACUACCGAUUGAAUGGUUUAGUGAGGACUCCUGAUUGGCGCCGCCGCCCCGGCAACGGAGCAGCGGACUGCCGAAAAGUUGUUCAAACUUGAUCAUUUAGAGGAAGUAAAAGUCGUAACA
Molecule: ribosomal RNA, 329 nt
Filed under: uncultured eukaryote
Lineage: Eukaryota
Description: partial 18S ribosomal RNA
Rfam family: Eukaryotic small subunit ribosomal RNA
Source: RNAcentral